GGAAGCCUGACGCAGGUGCAGAUGCGGAUACGGAAGCAGGACGCCAGGUGGAGAGACAGGAUGGAGAGAGACACGUACAACGCCCGCUAAACACACAGGGAAGGAGAGACGCGGAUUGCGGCCGGAGGCACAGGGGAUCGAAAGGACAGGACGCGUGCACAACGCUCGCUAUAUGGUUAAGUAAAAAGGACGUGUCCCAGACUGCUUGUGUGUGUGUGUGUGCGCGCACCUUUUUGAGAUUGUGUGUGGCCCUUAGCCCCUCCCUCUGAUCUGUACAGGUGGCUGAGCGUGGAGGUAUGGAGGAGGAGAGAUGCGGACCGCGGCCGGAGAUGUAGGAGACGGCGAGGACGAGUUGCAUGGGCAGCGCCUGUGAAGAAUAGUGGUCUGACCUGAGCCCCGGGACCACUCGGACGUUGCGGAGUAUUGUCAAAAAAAAAAAGGAGAGAUAAACCGCCCAGCUUUAUGCAGAGUCUUGUUUUUUUUUUCUAAAAAAAAAAAAAAAAUCUUUGUGAUUUUAUUCUUUUUGACUGAGGCUUUGUUUUUUUUCCUUUAUUUAUUUUUAUUAUCUUUUACCGGUUACGGACAUUUUAUAUUGACUUUUUGUAGUUUUAGCUACUUAUUUAUUUUAAUUGUGAAUAAACUGUUUUCAAUUUUGCCAA
This is a long non-coding RNA of Thalassophryne amazonica, 659 nucleotides long. RefSeq lists it as uncharacterized. The record is from RefSeq and is a predicted model, not a curated record. The transcript is spliced from 2 exons. Lineage: Eukaryota; Metazoa; Chordata; Actinopteri; Batrachoidiformes; Batrachoididae.